UGAUCCAGCCAUGCCGCGUGAGUGAAGAAGGCCUUCGGGUUGUAAAGCUCUUUCGGCCGGGAAGAAAUCGCACGUGCUAAUACCCUGUGUGCCUGACGGUACCGUAAGAAGAAGCACCGGCUAACUACGUGCCAGCAGCCGCGGUAAUACGUAGGGUGCGAGCGUUAAUCGGAAUUACUGGGCGUAAAGCGUGCGCAGGCGGUUUUGUAAGUCCGGUGUGAAAUCCCCGGGCUCAACCUGGGAAUUGCGUUCGAGACUGCUAGGCUUGAGUGUGGGAAAGGGAGGUGGAAUUCCACGUGUAGCAGUGA
RNAcentral lists this ribosomal RNA (308 nucleotides) under uncultured beta proteobacterium. RNAcentral's name for it is "bacterial SSU rRNA". It matches the Rfam family "Bacterial small subunit ribosomal RNA", at positions 384 to 684 of the family's 1533-position model. Lineage: Bacteria; Pseudomonadati; Pseudomonadota; Betaproteobacteria. The record is from RNAcentral.